UUUCUUGAAGGUUUUUCUCUCCAAAUCAACUUGGAUCAUGUUCGGAUAGGAGACUUUAAUUGGUUCUCCAAUGUAGAGUCCAAGUGACUAGAGUCCAAGGAGUGUUCGAGUUGGAGUCCAAUGCAGCCAAGGUACUUCAGUAUAGUCGAUGGGUCUGUAGCAGUGGGCUUGGGAUAUUAUGACUGAAGCUCACCGCGACGGUUGUAAUUGUCGGACCACGGGUUGUCCACUAUUUUAUAGGUUUGGUAUGGCUUGUGACGUUUGUGUCACUUAUUCUUUGUUAAGCCAUUAUUGUUAUAGUGUUAAUAAGACUCAAACAUAUAGAUGUUAAAUGGCUCUUUGUUGUAAUUAAUUUGUGAUAGAUGUAUAAGUUGUAAUUUCCGCUA
This is a long non-coding RNA of Alnus glutinosa, 386 nucleotides long. RefSeq lists it as uncharacterized. The transcript is spliced from 3 exons. The record is from RefSeq and is a predicted model, not a curated record. Lineage: Eukaryota; Viridiplantae; Streptophyta; Magnoliopsida; Fagales; Betulaceae.